CCUGCCUGGCGCCUCUCUCUCUCUCUUAUAGGUGCGGGCGGUGCUGCCUGUGGAGGAGGGCGCAGCUGUGUACCACUGUGAGGCGCAGCUGGACGGCAGAACCAUUGUGACUCACUGCUUGGAGAAGAACAAGGCAGAGAAGGUGUACAAGGAGGCUUUGAAAGAGGGGAAGACUGCCCUCAUGACACGAGAAGACCCUGACUCAAGCGACAUUCUCACGCUUAACCUCGGCAACUUUCCUGCGGGAACGAGGGCCAAGGUCACCCUUCGUCUGGUGAUGGAGUUGAGGGUUGAGACAGACGGCAUCAUCAGCUUUGUUUUGCCCACAGUACUCAACCCGCGCUACACCCCUGCUGACCACCCUCGCAGGCAAGGUAGGUCAGCUGAGGUCACAGGUCGUGUCAGCUCAAGGGAGUGUGUGGUGGGUUUGAAAUGCACUAAAACACUUGUAGUUGUUAUUGAUUGUUAUAUUCCAGAUUAUACCAGAUUGGUUUGGGGCGAGGAGAAUUCGCUGAAACACUUAGAAUGCAUUCACUUUUUAUUUUUCUAUUACCUACACUAGCAAAACACAUGUAAUUGUUAUUUUCCAUUACCUAAAGCUUCAAAACAUGUAAUUGUUAUUUUUCUAUGAUUUACCUCAACAAAACACAUGUAAUUGUUAUUUUCCAUUACCUAAAGCUUCAAAACAUGUAAUUGUUACUUUUCUAUUACUUACCUCAACAAAACACAUGUAAUUGUUAUUUUCCAUUACCUAAAGCUUCGAAACACAUGUACAGUGGAACCUUGGUUUUUUAACUUAAUUCGUCUAUGAAAGCUGUUCUAACUCGGAAAUGUUCAGAAAUCAAAACUAUUUUCCCCACAGGAAUCAAAGUAAAAAUGGAUUAAUCCGUUCCCGCACACCGUCGCAGC
Scylla paramamosain (green mud crab) is the source of this 909-nucleotide long non-coding RNA. RefSeq lists it as uncharacterized. The record is from RefSeq and is a predicted model, not a curated record. The transcript has 3 exons. NCBI's taxonomy places the organism in Eukaryota, Metazoa, Arthropoda, Malacostraca, Decapoda, Portunidae.